GGCUUAGUCUGCCGGUGUUUUUGCAUGACAGCCGCUUAAUUAAAUGCCGGUCGACGUUUAGUCCGCCCCCGCGAAGAAAAAGGAGAGGGAGAGGGGGAAGGUUCGGGGGGAGCGAGGGCUCAGGAGGAGUGGAAGGAGGGAAGGUUUGAGAGCGCCUAGAUGAUGGGCGUGGACGGUAGCGGCAAGGGGAGGCAGGUGCGGGGCGGGGCGGCCCUGCGGGACGAGGUGGGGCAGCGGGCGGUAACCCAGGGGCGGGAGGGGAGCUCCCAAUGACAUGAGAACACUUUGAGUUCUUUCUAGCGACGAAGAUAUCCCAACAACGUCUUACCGAAUACCACCUCUACUCGUCGUUUCGGUCCUAAUAGAUAAGUUUUAACAAGACGAACCACUGAGAAGACAACCGUUUAGUUUAAACGAUCGGUCUAAACGAUCCUUACUCAAGAAAGGUUUCAGGUUCAGGUGUUAUCCUCACCUUAAGGUCUGGGUCUUUAACCACUAUCUACCUUUCCUUUAAUUUCGAGUCUAUACCCUGUGUCGUCCUGUUCUUGCAAAGUCUCGUCAGUGUAGACGGAUGAUGUCUCCUCGGCAACCUCGAGAAGACCAAAUACUAUAAUGGUCCGCGGUCUGUAAACUGUCACAACCGGCUACCGAAUUACUUGACGUACGAGUAAGGCUGUACUUGCAGCAGUGUUAAGACUAACCGUUGUUCUGGCUGGAGUUCGUACGCGCCCUCCACUCGUGGCGCCUUCCGUUUCGGGACCGGCUCCGGGUCCCGGAGAAGAAGUACCUUUGGAGCCGAGACCUGAGCAGCUUGCAGUGUCGUCGAAAGGUCUGGUAUCAGUUCCUCUAGAUGUCGUAUGAUUCGUCCUUCCACAAGGUUAGAGUUCUCGUCUUCUUUUCGCUCGACGUCAGCGAUUCAUUGCCCUUUCGGCACCACGACGUCUUGCUGCGGGGGUCGCUGUGUUCGCCACCGCCCUCCCCAGGACCUGAACUACUGGUGCUCUCCCAGGGACAACGCACGGCAUCCUACACU
Molecule: ribosomal RNA, 1033 nt
Filed under: Triticum aestivum (bread wheat)
Lineage: Eukaryota; Viridiplantae; Streptophyta; Magnoliopsida; Poales; Poaceae
Description: partial small subunit ribosomal RNA
Source: RNAcentral